Molecule: ribosomal RNA, 501 nt
Filed under: uncultured bacterium
Lineage: Bacteria
Description: partial 16S ribosomal RNA
Rfam family: Bacterial small subunit ribosomal RNA
Source: RNAcentral
AUUGAACGCUGGCGGCAGGCUUAACACAUGCAAGUCGAGCGGGGGAAGGUAGCUUGCUACCGGACCUAGCGGCGGACGGGUGUGUAAUGCUUAGGAAUCUGCCUAUUAGUGGGGGACAACAUCUCGAAAGGGAUGCUAAUACCGCAUACGUCCUACGGGAGAAAGCAGGGGAUCUUCGGACCUUGCGCUAAUAGGUGAGCCUAAGUCGGAUUAGCUAGUUGGCGGGGUAAAGGCCUACCAAGGCGACGAUCUGUAGCGGGUCUGAGAGGAGGAUCCGCCACACCGGGACUGAGACACGGCCCAGACUCCUACGGGAGGCAGCAGUGGGGAAUAUUGGACAAUGGGGGGAACCCUGAUCCAGCCAUGCCGCGUGUGUGAAGAAGGCCUUAUGGUUGUAAAGCACUUUAAGCGAGGAGGAGGCUACUCUAGUUAAUACCUAGGGAUAGUGGACGUUACUCGCAGAAUAAGCACCGGCUAACUCUGUGCCAGCAGCCGCGGUAA